This 84-nucleotide transfer RNA is filed under the name Candidatus Desulfovibrio intestinavium. Its description in RNAcentral is "tRNA-Leu". It matches the Rfam family "tRNA". Rfam says of the family: Transfer RNA (tRNA) molecules are approximately 80 nucleotides in length. Their secondary structure includes four short double-helical elements and three loops (D, anti-codon, and T loops). The record is from RNAcentral. Lineage: Bacteria; Pseudomonadati; Thermodesulfobacteriota; Desulfovibrionia; Desulfovibrionales; Desulfovibrionaceae.
GCGAGAGUGGCGGAACUGGUAGACGCACUGGACUUAGAAUCCAGCGGAACUUCCGUGGGGGUUCGAUUCCCCCCUCUCGCACCA